GGGCCCGUAGUAUAAUGGCAUUAUGCUUGGCUGGCAGUCAAGAGACUCGAGUUCGAUUCUCAAUGGGUCCA
This 71-nucleotide transfer RNA is filed under the name Candidatus Pacearchaeota archaeon. RNAcentral describes it as "tRNA-Ala". It matches the Rfam family "tRNA". From Rfam's summary of the family: Transfer RNA (tRNA) molecules are approximately 80 nucleotides in length. Their secondary structure includes four short double-helical elements and three loops (D, anti-codon, and T loops). Lineage: Archaea; Nanobdellati. The record is from RNAcentral.